GUCGAGCGGGCGUAGCAAUACGUCAGCGGCAGACGGGUGAGUAACGCGUGGGAACGUACCUUUUGGUUCGGAACAACACAGGGAAACUUGUGCUAAUACCGAAUAAGCCCUUACGGGGAAAGAUUUAUCGCCGAAAGAUCGGCCCGCGUCUGAUUAGCUAGUUGGUGAGGUAACGGCUCACCAAGGCGACGAUCAGUAGCUGGUCUGAGAGGAUGAUCAGCCACAUUGGGACUGAGACACGGCCCAAACUCCUACGGGAGGCAGCAGUGGGGAAUAUUGGACAAUGGGCGCAAGCCUGAUCCAGCCAUGCCGCGUGAGUGAUGAAGGCCCUAGGGUUGUAAAGCUCUUUUGUGCGGGAAGAUAAUGACGGUACCGCAAGAAUAAGCCCCGGCUAACUUCGUGCCAGCAGCCGCGGUAAUACGAAGGGGGCUAGCGUUGCUCGGAAUCACUGGGCGUAAAGGGUGCGUAGGCGGGUCUUUAAGUCAGGGGUGAAAUCCUGGAGCUCAACUCCAGAACUGCCUUUGAUACUGAAGAUCUUGAGUUCGGGAGAGGUGAGUGGAACUGCGAGUGUAGAGGUGAAAUUCGUAGAUAUUCGCAAGAACACCAGUGGCGAAGGCGGCUCACUGGCCCGAUACUGACGCUGAGGCACGAAAGCGUGGGGAGCAAACAGGAUUAGAUACCCUGGUAGUCCACGCCGU
RNAcentral lists this ribosomal RNA (698 nucleotides) under Afipia broomeae. RNAcentral describes it as "bacterial SSU rRNA". It matches the Rfam family "Bacterial small subunit ribosomal RNA", at positions 61 to 803 of the family's 1533-position model. The record is from RNAcentral. Lineage: Bacteria; Pseudomonadati; Pseudomonadota; Alphaproteobacteria; Hyphomicrobiales; Nitrobacteraceae.